Long non-coding RNA from Trachemys scripta elegans, 2326 nucleotides. RefSeq lists it as uncharacterized. Lineage: Eukaryota; Metazoa; Chordata; Testudines; Emydidae. The record is from RefSeq and is a predicted model, not a curated record. The transcript has 3 exons.
GGAGCCGAAAACCGGAUGCCAGGCAACCUUAUAUGAUGUACUUUUAAAUUUGAGUGCUUAAGAUUUGAUAUAACAAACAGUUGCUUCUAACUACUGUUUUCUUAAUGCUGAACAGCUCUUAAUGAAGUUUUGAUGGGUGUGGUUAAAACACCAAAUGGAGUCAUUUGAUUGUGUAACUACAGGCACAGAUCUUCAGCUGGGAUAAGUGACUGUUCCUUGGAAAAGACCUGACAUGACCAAAAAUUGAAAGCAGCACCAGGAUGCUGAAAAAUGGAGCUCUUUGUAAGAGCUAAUUAGACUGCCUCUACAAAAUCUUAGGAAACUGCACUUGCCAAAGAAUUGAGACAGGCUGAUAUUUGCUGUGAAUGGAAUGAAAGGACUGGAUAUGUUGGAAAUUUGGAGUUUUGACCUGAGACUACAAACCAAUGGAACUUAUACAUUUUGCGUAUUUGUAUAAAACUUACUUGAGCAUACAAUGCUGAUAUAUACUAAGUUACUUAAACUUCCUACAUUUUGUCUAUAUUACUUUCUUGAUGGUUUAGUAGAACAUUUGCUGUAGAUUGGUUUUUAAUACGAAAUGUGUUAUACACACAUUUGUGGCUUGUAUGUUUCUAUAUCUGUGUAUAAUAUUAAAUCUGAGAUACUACAUUAUCAAGUACUGUAUGUUUUAUCUGUAUGAGUUUGAAGUAGUGCAGUACUCACAAAUGAUUUUAUGCAGGUUAUUCCAAAAAGUGACAAUAAAAUCACUUGUAUUUUAACAGACCAUCAUGUGGGAUUCCUGCAUCAUGUGGUGGAAGGGAUAAAGGGGACAGAAGUAUAGUUCUGGGAGAACAGUAUUUCCUGAGUGCUGGGGGAUGGAGAACAGGAGAGCUUUCCCUCUGUUUUUAGUAGAGGAGGCAAAGUUGUGCCUUCCCCUGAUUCUUAACUUGGUUUAGACUAUCAGAAAGAGACAUGGGAUAAUUCCCAGCUUUUGUGUUUGAGACUGGAUGACUGAAUAGCCCAAAAGCAGUCUAAGGCCAAAAAUAUAUAAAGUUUGUAAGCCAAUCCAAGACAAAUGGUAUAAAACAUAUGUAGAUUUAAGACUAAACAUUGCUUCAGAUAGGUGGACCACAACCUUACAGUUUAUUUUGGGAGUGAGCGAGAAAACAAAAUGCUGACAUUUUUUAGAAUAUCUGUGUUUGUAUCAAUCUCUGAGGGUCUCCCCAUCUUCUCCUUAGCAUUGAAGUGUCUCAAAAGUUAAGUAUCCAAUUUUUGCAUUUCUUUCCUCUUUUUCAUUCCGGCCAGUCGUUGAAAUAAACUUCUGAGCCCUUUCCACUCUCCCUCCCCUUUUGUAAAUGAAUACUCUUAUUUUGUAUUAAAGGGACAGUGUAAGCUUGAAAUCUAGUUAUGUCAUUGUAGGUACUAUACCUGCUUCUGAGUCAUUCUGCUAAUUUCUGUAGUAUUAACAAUCACACUUUCCUGUUUUCAUAAGUGUAUUCUUUUCCGUUUCUUUGUGAACACUGCCCCUCUCCUUCGCAAGCAAGCGCACACAGCAGAAAUUGUACAUUUUCAGCACUUGCAGUUUGUAAUGAAUAAAGAAUGAUUUUUUAAAAAAUCAAUCUCUUUAUUUCAUUAAUAUUUUGGCCAGUUUUGAAAGAGUAUUGUAGUCAAGGUAAAGCAAUUCAGAUUAUUCAAAAAUUUCAUUUCACUAAGUAGAAUGGUUUAAACUUUGGACUUAUACAUAUGUGUAUUGAAAUCACCAUUGUAGAAAGCUUUUUUUUUGGGGGGGGGGGGACGUAAAGCCCUGAUUCUGUUAAUUCUGUUACUAAAUAAGAGGUGAGGUCUAAGAGAAGAAUUUCCCAACAAGUUAAGAGAUGACCUCAGAGAAACUGACAUACAAAUAGGUAUGAAAGGACCCAAAGUAUUGAAGUAUGAAAGUUGUACAAUAUUCAUUUUCCUAAAUGAAUAACAAGAGGGCUACAUGUAUAUCAAGAGCAGCCUAGUUUCCUUUCGAUAGGGGCAGGGAUUGUUUGUUCUGUUUGUACAGAGGCAUCCUGGUCCAUGAUUGCGACUCCUUCAUGCUACCAUGAUACAAAUAAUUAAUAACAGAAGAAAAGACACACACAGUAGAGUGGAAGUUGUAAUCAGGAGGCGAAAUUGAGGAGGCACAGGUAGACGAAACAUGAAGUAAGGAACUGGUUAAGACCUCACAAUUGGAAAUCAUGGAAAUAAUGGCUAUGGAAGAGCAAAGAAGUCCUUUGUUCUUCUUACUACUCUUCCUGGUAGCCAAACAUCUAUAGAGCCCUUCAGCCAAGUCCUUGAUUAUAUGUAUUUUGCCUAUGGGGAG